UGGGGAAUAUUGCACAAUGGAGGGAACUCUGAUGCAGCGACGCCGCGUGAACGAAGAAGGCUUUCGAGUCGUAAAGUUCUUUUAUAUGGGAAGAUAAUGACGGUACCAUAAGAAAAAGCCCCGGCUAACUACGUGCCAGCAGCCGCGGUAAUACGUAGGGGGCUAGCGUUGUCCGGAAUCACUGGGCGUAAAGGGUUCGCAGGCGGAAAUGCAAGUCAGGUGUAAAAGGCAGUAGCUUAACUACUGUAAGCAUUUGAAACUGCAUAUCUUGAGAAGAGUAGAGGUAAGUGGAAUUUUUAGUGUAGCGGUGAAAUGCGUAGAUACUAAAAAGAAUACCGGUGGCGAAGGCGGCUUACUGGGCUCAUUCUGACGCUGAGGAACGAAAGCGUGGGUAGCAAACAGG
Molecule: ribosomal RNA, 403 nt
Filed under: bacterium
Lineage: Bacteria
Description: partial 16S ribosomal RNA
Rfam family: Bacterial small subunit ribosomal RNA
Source: RNAcentral